GGACUUAGGUUAGCACAAACCAAGGGCCUUCAAAGCCCCAAACAAGAGACCACUCUUAGCCCCUG
This 65-nucleotide transfer RNA is filed under the name Gehyra incognita. RNAcentral describes it as "tRNA-Trp". Lineage: Eukaryota; Metazoa; Chordata; Lepidosauria; Squamata; Gekkonidae. The record is from RNAcentral.